Long non-coding RNA from Cynoglossus semilaevis (tongue sole), 559 nucleotides. RefSeq lists it as uncharacterized. NCBI's taxonomy places the organism in Eukaryota, Metazoa, Chordata, Actinopteri, Pleuronectiformes, Cynoglossidae. The record is from RefSeq and is a predicted model, not a curated record. The transcript has 2 exons.
AGCAGAGACACAGUCACGGUCGGUUUUUUGGCACAUGUUUAAUGAAGUAGUUGUGGAUGUACAGGUUGUGAACCCCAUCACUAUGGUUACCGAGUCGUUUGAUGUUUCUGUUUAGGGUUUGUGUUUGUGUUGAUGAGGUUUUUAGUUCAUUCAUUAUUCAGUUAAUGAAUUAAUCCAUUUAUUCAUCUUUUUCAGGUGAGGACAGCUCUCUACUGGGUCACAGGGUCACUAUAGAGAGACCAUUCACACCACUAUUCACACCCAGAUUCACACCAACAGUGAGGGGAGCCAUGAGAUCAAGGAAAACUGAAGUUUCAGAUUUCUACGUGUUCAGGGGCCUCGUGGUGACGUUUCCGUUCCAUGACUCACCAUCGUCACCAUGCAGUAGUUCUCCUUCCAGGCUCCGCAGCAGCCGAAGAAGGAAAUGAAGAAAAUCACCACGCCGAUGACGAUGAGAAGGAUGGGAGCUCCUGACGCUGUGGCGUCAUCGAUCAUGAGCGUCUUGUGCAGCGCCACCUGGACCAGGAUUCCCACCACAAUCAAGGCAAGGCCACAUAUC